GUUUAUGUGGUUCUUCAUGAGAGUUUUUAUUAUAGUCGACGCAGUUGCCACUUUAGUGUUUUGUUUCGAAUUUUGCAAAGACGCGUCCACUCCCUGUUGACAAAAUAGCGCGGAAGGUUCUGGGGAAAAUCUGCAAUAAAACCUGUGGUUUGCGAAACCGGUUACUGUAUAUUUAAAACCGGCGAAGCGUCUUUAACAAUUUAUUCCGUGUGUGGUGUUAUUCCGGUUUGUGGAUUUUGUGACACGACAAAAUGAAAAUUGCGCUGGUAGUUUUGACCGCGAUGGCGGCCAGCGUGUGCUCCGAAACGGCAGUGGAGGAAUUUGCUGCCGGUAACCUCAAAUUUACCGCACAGCUUUACAAGGAACUACUCAAAGAAAACAAAGGCAACUUCAUCGUCAGUCCCCUUUCCAUCGAAAUAAUCUUGGCGUUGACGCAAGCCGGCGCCCGUGGCGGCACAGCCGAAGAAUUUACCCAAAGCCUGAGCCUGCCCGCUACGCGCGACCGCACCGAAGAAGCGUUGAGGACCUUUUUGCCGACUCUGAAGAGCUCCAAGGACGACCUGAAGCUGUUGUCCGCGAACAAGCUCUUCGCCGGCGACAGGUUCCGCAUCCUUGACGAAUUCAGGAGGAUCGCCAACGACGUGUUCGAAGCUGGCGUCGAUAACGUGGACUUUGCUAAGGCCCAGCAGGCCGCCAAGACCAUCAACGAUUGGGUGGAACAACAUACCAACAACAAGAUCAAGAAUUUGAUCGAUCCCGAUAGCCUGAGCGACGCUACUAGAUUGGUCCUGGUCAACGCCCUGUAUUUCAGUGCCAAAUGGGAGAACCAAUUCGAGAAGUACGCCACGAGGAAGGAGGCUUUCUACACGAACGCCCUCGAUUCGAAACAAGUCGACAUGAUGCACAUCGAGGACUCGUUCCGAUACUACGAGUGCAACGAGAAGAACGUCAAGUUUCUCGAACUGCCGUACCUCGGCGGAAACAUCUCCAUGACGAUCGUACUGCCCAACGACAAGGAGGGCCUCGUCAAAGCUGAGGAGAACAUCGAAGAGUUGUUGAAACCGCACCCGCUCACCCACGAGAGGGUGGCCGUCUCUUUGCCCAAGUUCCUCGUCGAGAGCGACAUCAAACUGAAACCGAUUCUGCAGAGGUUGGGCUUGACCAAGGCUUUUAACUUAAACGAGGCCGACCUCUCGGGCAUAUCGCAAGAGGGUUUGUACAUCGACGACGUCAUCCAAAAGGCUUUCAUCAACGUCACCGAGUCGGGAACGGAGGCCGCCGCCGCCACUGCCGUGAAGUUCGUUCCGACAUCCGGCAAACUCCCUCCUAUUACGGAAUUCAUAGCUGACCGCCCCUUCGCAUAUUAUAUCAAAUCCAACGGGAUAGUGUUAUUCGUCGGAAAAAUCUCAAACCCAAACUGAUCGAUGAUCGAUGUUAUUGUCGUCUGCAAGUCUCUAAUUAUUUCCUUAGAACAGGUUCUAGUGUCGUUUGUCUCCCUUCCUUUACCGGCAACCACGACGUUCAAGGCCGACCACCCGUUUCUGUUCUUCAUCACACUGAACGAAGUCCAUGUCUUCGCUGGAAGAGUUGCAUCCCACCGAGCACUAAUUCAUAAUUAAAGUGAAAAUUAGUAGUAUCCAGUUUAUUUUUGUAUCUCCCGCUCUAUGUAUGUUUAAUAAAAAAUGCCCAACUU
Cylas formicarius (sweet potato weevil) is the source of this 1693-nucleotide RNA transcript. It is a transcript of the gene named antichymotrypsin-2-like, with no coding region annotated. NCBI's taxonomy places the organism in Eukaryota, Metazoa, Arthropoda, Insecta, Coleoptera, Brentidae. The record is from RefSeq and is a predicted model, not a curated record. The transcript is spliced from 7 exons.